Molecule: ribosomal RNA, 425 nt
Filed under: uncultured bacterium
Lineage: Bacteria
Description: bacterial SSU rRNA
Rfam family: Bacterial small subunit ribosomal RNA
Source: RNAcentral
AGGGAAUAUUGCGCAAUGGACGAAAGUCUGACGCAGCGACACCGUGUGAAGGAUGAAGGUCUUCGGAUCGUAAACUUCUGUCAAUUGGAGACGAAGGCAGUAGGGUUAAUAGCCUCAAUGCUGACGGUACCCAAAAAGGAAGUCUCGGCUAACUCCGUGCCAGCAGCCGCGGUAAGACGGAGGAGGCAAGCGUUGUCCGGAAUUAUUGGGCGUAAAGAGCGCGUAGGCGGUUUUCCAAGUCAUAUGUGAAAACUUUAGGCUUAACCUAAAGAUUGCAUGUGAAACUGGAUAACUAGAGUACGGCAGAGGAAAGUGGAAUUCCUGGUGUAGCGGUGAAAUGCGCAGAUAUCAGGAAGAACACCAGUGGCGAAGGCGGCUUUCUAGGCCGUUACUGACGCUGAGGCGCGAAAGCUAGGGGAGCGAAC